UACAGAGGUCCCAAGCGUUGUUCGGAUUCACUGGGCGUAAAGGGUGCGUAGGCGGUCGGGUAAGUCUGAUGUGAAAUCUCCAAGCCUAACUUGGAAACUGCAUUGGAUACUAUCCGCUCGAGGAAUGGAGGGGAGACUGGAAUACUUGGUGUAGCAGUGAAAUGCGUAGAUAUCAAAGUGGAACACCAGUGGCGAAGGCGAGUCUCUGGACAUUUUCCUGACGCUGAGGCACGAAAGCCAGGGGGAGCAAACGGG
RNAcentral lists this ribosomal RNA (255 nucleotides) under uncultured bacterium. Its description in RNAcentral is "partial 16S ribosomal RNA". It matches the Rfam family "Bacterial small subunit ribosomal RNA", at positions 524 to 776 of the family's 1533-position model. The record is from RNAcentral.